UUCUAGCCCCGAUGGAAACGGCAUCCUUUUUUGGCGCGAGCGAAGCGAGCGGCAAAAAAGAUAUAGUGGACAGCGGGAACACUA
RNAcentral lists this small RNA (84 nucleotides) under Halpernia frigidisoli. Its description in RNAcentral is "Flavo-1 RNA". It matches the Rfam family "Flavo-1 RNA". Lineage: Bacteria; Pseudomonadati; Bacteroidota; Flavobacteriia; Flavobacteriales; Weeksellaceae. The record is from Rfam by way of RNAcentral.